RNAcentral lists this ribosomal RNA (746 nucleotides) under bacterium. RNAcentral's name for it is "bacterial SSU rRNA". It matches the Rfam family "Bacterial small subunit ribosomal RNA", at positions 47 to 795 of the family's 1533-position model. The record is from RNAcentral.
CAUUACACAUGCAGUCGAACGAUGAACCGGUUUCGGCCGGGGAUUAGUGGCGAACGGGUGAGUAACACGUGGGCAAUCUGCCCUGCACUCUGGGACAAGCCCUGGAAACGGGGUCUAAUACCGGAUACGACCUUCGAGCGCAUGCUUGAGGGUGGAAAGCUCCGGCGGUGCAGGAUGAGCCCGCGGCCUAUCAGCUUGUUGGUGGGGUGAUGGCCUACCAAGGCGACGACGGGUAGCCGGCCUGAGAGGGCGACCGGCCACACUGGGACUGAGACACGGCCCAGACUCCUACGGGAGGCAGCAGUGGGGAAUAUUGCACAAUGGGCGAAAGCCUGAUGCAGCGACGCCGCGUGAGGGAUGACGGCCUUCGGGUUGUAAACCUCUUUCAGCAGGGAAGAAGCGAAAGUGACGGUACCUGCAGAAGAAGCGCCGGCUAACUACGUGCCAGCAGCCGCGGUAAUACGUAGGGCGCAAGCGUUGUCCGGAAUUAUUGGGCGUAAAGAGCUCGUAGGCGGCUUGUCGCGUCGGAUGUGAAAGCCCGGGGCUUAACCCCGGGUCUGCAUUCGAUACGGGCAGGCUAGAGUUCGGUAGGGGAGAUCGGAAUUCCUGGUGUAGCGGUGAAAUGCGCAGAUAUCAGGAGGAACACCGGUGGCGAAGGCGGAUCUCUGGGCCGAUACUGACGCUAAGGAGCGAAAGCGUGGGGAGCGAACAGGAUAAACCCCCCGGGGAAAAAAGUCCUUUUUGUU